CAGCUCUCCAGGGGACAUCUGGAUAAAAAAUGCUGCAGCAAAACAGGCAGAGGAGGAGAAAUCCUGUGAUUCCAAGCCUCUCCCAUCUCCAGGCAGUCCUCCCAACUCCCAAGUAUGGUUGUUUGGUUGAUUUUAGAGAACAGGUCAAUCAGAUCCUCCAGGCUCCAGGGAGGAGCCAUCGGGUGUGACCAUGAGAGCAGGGGGUGGGCUGGGGUGACACCCGGGUCCCCAGAUGUGUGAGCACAGCCCUGGGGAUGGGGACAGGGAGCAAGGGGCAAUUUGGGCAGCUUCCCGUGGGCUCUAAUCUGCUUUUAGCAUCCAUGUCUCCACAGGGCUGAUGGAGGGAAUUGCAGUUUCCAGCCAUGGACAGAAACAGGAAAGCACCUUGGACAGCGUUUGUGGGUGUUGCUUAGAAAAAAACUGCUGUAUUUCUGGUUUCACACAGACCAUUCCGAAGGAAAGAAAAUCUUUCAAGAAGAGGAAGAUGCUGAAAGCUGCUGGGUCCUGCUUCCCAUGUGCACAUCCAGUGGUGUCCUGGCUCAGAGAUCUGCAGGAGACAAACCCAGGGAGACAGAAAGGCUGAGCUCCACGUGCACUACAGAAUUAUUUGCUCACGUCACUGAAGAACGUCUCCACAGCAAGGAGUUGUGCUGGCUCACAUUUCCUCUGCAGACUGUUUCAGAUGGAAAACAAGGAAGAUGAUCUAAAUUGGAGGUAAUAGGCUGGAAUGUGGGAUGCAGGAAGAUUACAGAUGCACCUUGAACCUGCAGGACUAAUGACUUUGUUCGUGCAUCUGCAAAAUGCUCACCUGACUUCUGCCUGGGAGAGCUGCUCCAGCCCUGUGCAAUGAAAUCACAGGCACUGCUCUGCUGUGACUCCAACCACACACACACUGCAGGACGAGGCCCAGCUUCAGGUGUCUUGCAAAUACAGAUGAGGUAAGAAAAGCCAUAAAAGCUUCAGAGGCCUCUUAAUUUUUCCCCUUUGAAUCAUCUGUCAUAAAAUCUCGUAGGAGAUGGGCUGUGCUCACUCAGAGGUAAAGCUAAUGUGCUCUUUGAUGCUGUUGUUUGCGAAAUCUCUGACUUAUUAGCAAUAAAUCCAGGGGCUGUGGUCGGCCUGGCAGAGCUGAGCUUUCUGCCAGCCUGUGCAUUGGAGGUGGUGCUUGAGAAAUGCUGCCCUUGGCUCUGGGAAAUGCAGGAAGCACUACAAGUGGUCGGGUCUGUGCUGGAGGAGAGGACUAACCAAAAUACCCUGGAUUUUGGGAGCCAGUCUAUCAAAACAAAGCAGGGACGCGCUGCUGCCGUGCAGCUCCUGCCAAGGAUGAGCUGAAACCAA
Pipra filicauda (Wire-tailed manakin) is the source of this 1335-nucleotide long non-coding RNA. RefSeq lists it as uncharacterized. The record is from RefSeq and is a predicted model, not a curated record. NCBI's taxonomy places the organism in Eukaryota, Metazoa, Chordata, Aves, Passeriformes, Pipridae. The transcript is spliced from 4 exons.